Molecule: unclassified non-coding RNA, 1385 nt
Filed under: uncultured Neocallimastigales
Lineage: Eukaryota; Fungi; Neocallimastigomycota; Neocallimastigomycetes; Neocallimastigales
Description: partial contains small subunit ribosomal RNA, internal transcribed spacer 1, 5.8S ribosomal RNA, internal transcribed spacer 2, and large subunit ribosomal RNA
Rfam family: Eukaryotic large subunit ribosomal RNA (bases 607-1385)
Source: RNAcentral
UUUCCGUAGGUGAACCUGCGGAAGGAUCAUUAAAAAAUGUGGUACCAAUUAUUGGUACUAAUUAAUCAUCCUACCCUUUGUGAAUUUGUUUGUAUGAAUUUUUUUAAAUGGGUCUUUCCCUAAGUUGGAUUGUUAGUAAAAUACAAAAAGACUUAGGGGAAUGACUUUUUUAAAAGACUUUUUUUUAAUUAAAACUUUUUGUAUUCAUUUGUCUAAAAUUUAUUUUUAUAAUAUAAAAACAACUUUUGACAAUGGAUCUCUUGGUUCUCGCAACGAUGAAGAACGCAGCAAAAUGCGAUAAGUAGUGUGAAUUGCAGAAUACGUGAAUCAUCGAAUCUUCGAACGCAUAUUGCACUUUUUUAGUUUACUAAAAAAGUAUGUCUGUUUGAGUAUCAGUAAAAUAUUCUCACAAACAUAUAUUGUUUGUGGUAUGAGUGUUUUACAACGAUAAACAAGUUGUUUCACUUUAAAUUCUUUUGUAAGUUUUUUACCAAUUCAAAUUAAAAUUGGAUAAAAUUUUCCUUUAACGAGGAAUAACCUAAACAAUUUUAAAUUUUAUGGAUUAAUAAACAUUCAUCAAAGGAAUCUAAUUAUACAUAAAUAACUUGAUCUCAAAUCAGAUAAGAGUACCCGCUGAACUUAAGCAUAUCAAUAAGCGGAGGAAAAGAAACUAACAAGGAUUCCCUUAGUAACGGCGAGUGAAGCGGGAAGAGCUCAAAUUUGAAAUCUUCAAGGUUUGACCUUGACGAAUUGUAGUUUAUAGAAGUGUUUUCUGUUGGAGUUUUGGUAAAAGUUCUUUGGAAUAGGACAUCAUAGAGGGUGAGAAUCCCGUAUUUGACCAUGACUUUCCAGCUGUGUGAUACACUUUCAAAGAGUCGGAUUGUUUGGGAAUGCAGUCCAAAAUGGGUGGUAAAUUUCAUCUAAAGCUAAAUAUUGGCGAGAGACCGAUAGCGAACAAGUACCGUGAGGGAAAGAUGAAAAGAACUUUGAAAAGAGAGUUAAACAGUACGUGAAAUUGUCAAAAGGGAAGCGUUUGACACCAGUGUUGUUUUCUCGAAAAUCAAUUUAAUGAGUUCUUGUUUUUAAGUUAUUGUGACUUUAUCAGCGCAUUUCUUAUUUUACUUGACUCAUUGAAUGCACUUUUCGUUUAACAAGUCAACAUCAAUUUCUUUGGUGGUAAAAAGUUAAAGGAAGGUGGCUUGGACUUCGGUUCAAGUGUUUAUAGCCUUUUUUCUAUGCCAUCGGAGAGAUUGAGGUCUGCAGCGUAGAUCCUUCGGGUUAGAUACCUUUGUGCUAAGUUAUAGUUUUUUAUAGACAACUUGUUGACUAUAAUUAACCCUGUAAUUUACUCGCUUAGGCUAUUUUACCUACGCUUAGGAUGUUGA